Molecule: ribosomal RNA, 497 nt
Filed under: uncultured bacterium
Lineage: Bacteria
Description: partial 16S ribosomal RNA
Rfam family: Bacterial small subunit ribosomal RNA
Source: RNAcentral
GAUGAACGCUGGCGGCGUGCCUAAUACAUGCAAGUCGAGCGAACAGACGAGGAGCUUGCUCCUCUGACGUUAGCGGCGGACGGGUGAGUAACACGUGGAUAACCUACCUAUAAGACUGGGAUAACUUCGGGAAACCGGAGCUAAUACCGGAUAAUAUAUUGAACCGCAUGGUUCAAUAGUGAAAGACGGUUUUGCUGUCACUUAUAGAUGGAUCCGCGCCGCAUUAGCUAGUUGGUAAGGUAACGGCUUACCAAGGCAACGAUGCGUAGCCGACCUGAGAGGGUGAUCGGCCACACUGGAACUGAGACACGGUCCAGACUCCUACGGGAGGCAGCAGUAGGGAAUCUUCCGCAAUGGGCGAAAGCCUGACGGAGCAACGCCGCGUGAGUGAUGAAGGUCUUCGGAUCGUAAAACUCUGUUAUUAGGGAAGAACAAAUGUGUAAGUAGCUAUGCACGUCUUGACGGUACCUGAUCAGAAAGCAACGGCUAACUACGUG